GGUUAAGCGAAUAAGCGUACACGGUGGAUGCCUAGGCAAUCAGAGGCGAUGAAGGACGUGCUAAUCUGCGAAAAGCGUCGGUAAGGUGAUAUGAACCGUUAUACCCGACGAUAUCCGAAUGGGGAAACCCAGUAUCCAAUGGAUACUAUCAUUAACUGAAUCCAUAGGUUAAUGAGGCGAACCGGGAGAACUGAAACAUCUCAGUACCCCGAGGAAAAGAAAUCAACCGAGAUUCCCCUAGUAGCGGCGAGCGAACGGGGAGCAGCCCAGAGUCUUAAUCAAUAGCAGUGUCAGGAGAACGGUCUGGAAAGUCCGGCAGUAAAGGGUGAUAGCCCCGUAUCUGAAGAUGCUGUUAUUGUGAACUCGACGAGUAGGGCGGGACACGUGUUAUCCUGUCUGAAUAUGGGGGGACCAUCCUCCAAGGCUAAAUACUCCUGAUUGACCGAUAGUGAACCAGUACCGUGAGGGAAAGGCGAAAAGAACCCCGGCGAGGGGAGUGAAAAAGAACCUGAAACCGUGUACGUACAAGCAGUAGGAGCCUCUUUAUGGGGUGACUGCGUACCUUUUGUAUAAUGGGUCAGCGACUUAUAUUCUGUAGCGAGGUUAACCGUAUAGGGGAGCCGUAGGGAAACCGAGUCUUAACUGGGCGAAUGAGUUGCAGGGUAUAGACCCGAAACCCGGUGAUCUAUCCAUGGGCAGGUUGAAGGUUGGGUAACACUAACUGGAGGACCGAACCGACUAAUGUUGAAAAAUUAGCGGAUGACUUGUGGAUGGGGGUGAAAGGCCAAUCAAACCGGGAGAUAGCUGGUUCUCCCCGAAAGCUAUUUAGGUAGCGCCUCGUGAACUCAUCUUCGGGGGUAGAGCACUGUUUCGACUAGGGGGUCAUCCCGACUUACCAACUCGAUGCAAACUGCGAAUACCGAAGAAUGUUAUCACGGGAGACACACGGCGGGUGCUAACGUCCGUCGUGAAGAGGGAAACAACCCAGACCGCCAGCUAAGGUCCCAAAGUCAUGGUUAAGUGGGAAACGAAGUGGGAAGGCUCAGACAGCCAGGAUGUUGGCUUAGAAGCAGCCAUCAUUUAAAGAAAGCGUAAUAGCUCACUGGUCGAGUCGGCCCGCGCGGAAGAUGUAACGGGGCUAAACCAUGCACCGAAGCUGCGGCAGCGACACAAAGUGUUGUUGGGUAGGGGAGCGUUCUGUAAGCCUGCGAAGGUGUACUGUGAGGUAUGCUGGAGGUAUCAGAAGUGCGAAUGCUGACAUAAGUAACGAUAAUGCGGGUGAAAAACCCGCACGCCGGAAGACCAAGGGUUCCUGUCCAACGUUAAUCGGGGCAGGGUGAGUCGACCCCUAAGGCGAGGCUGAAAAGCGUAGUCGAUGGGAAACGGGUUAAUAUUCCCGUACUGGUGGUAACUGCGAUGGGGGAACGGAGAAGGCUAGGUUGUCCGGGCGACGGUCGUCCCGGUUCAAGCAGGUAGGCAGAGUGAUUAGGCAAAUCCGGUCACUUAAUGCUGAGAUGUGAUGACGAACCACCAAGGUGGUGAAGCAAUUGAUGCCCCGCUUCCAGGAAAAGCCUCUAAGCUUCAGGUUACCAACAAUCGUACCCCAAACCGACACAGGUGGUCAGGUAGAGAAUACUCAGGCGCUUGAGAGAACUCGGGUGAAGGAACUAGGCAAAAUGGUGCCGUAACUUCGGGAGAAGGCACGCUGGCGGUAGGUAAAGUCCCUUGCGGACGGCGCUGAAGCCAGUCGAAGAUACCAGCUGGCUGCAACUGUUUAUUAAAAACACAGCACUGUGCAAACACGAAAGUGGACGUAUACGGUGUGACGCCUGCCCGGUGCUGGAAGGUUAAUUGAUGGGGUCAGCCGUAAGGCGAAGCUCCUGAUCGAAGCCCCAGUAAACGGCGGCCGUAACUAUAACGGUCCUAAGGUAGCGAAAUUCCUUGUCGGGUAAGUUCCGACCUGCACGAAUGGCGUAAUGAUGGCCAGGCUGUCUCCACCCGAGACUCAGUGAAAUUGAACUCGCUGUGAAGAUGCAGUGUACCCGCGGCAAGACGGAAAGACCCCGUGAACCUUUACUAUAGCUUGACACUGAACAUUGAGCCUUGAUGUGUAGGAUAGGUGGGAGGCUUUGAAGUGUGGACGCCAGUCUGCAUGGAGCCAACCUUGAAAUACCACCCUUUAACGUUUGAUGUUCUAACCUAGGCCCAUAAACUGGGUCGGGGACCGUGUCUGGUGGGUAGUUUGACUGGGGCGGUCUCCUCCUAAAGAGUAACGGAGGAGCACGAAGGUUGGCUAAGCAUGGUCGGACAUCAUGCGGUUAGUGCAAAGGCAUAAGCCAGCUUGACUGCGAGAGUGACGGCUCGAGCAGGUACGAAAGUAGGUCUUAGUGAUCCGGUGGUUCUGAAUGGAAGGGCCAUCGCUCAACGGAUAAAAGGUACUCCGGGGAUAACAGGCUGAUACCGCCCAAGAGUUCAUAUCGACGGCGGUGUUUGGCACCUCGAUGUCGGCUCAUCACAUCCUGGGGCUGAAGUAGGUCCCAAGGGUAUGGCUGUUCGCCAUUUAAAGUGGUACGCGAGCUGGGUUUAGAACGUCGUGAGACAGUUCGGUCCCUAUCUGCCGUGGGCGUUGGAAGAUUGAGAGGGGUUGCUCCUAGUACGAGAGGACCGGAGUGAACGCACCACUGGUGUUCGGGUUGUCAUGCCAAUGGCAUUGCCCGGUAGCUAAGUGCGGAAGAGAUAACCGCUGAAAGCAUCUAAGCGGGAAACUUGCCUCGAGAUGAGUCUUCCCUGUCGCUUUAAGCGACCUAAAGGAACGUUUAAGACUAAGACGUUGAUAGGCUGGGUGUGUAAGCGUAGUGAUACGUUGAGCUAACCAGUACUAAUGAACCGUGAGGCUUAACCUG
RNAcentral lists this ribosomal RNA (2903 nucleotides) under Proteus mirabilis. RNAcentral describes it as "23S ribosomal RNA". It matches the Rfam family "Bacterial large subunit ribosomal RNA". The record is from RNAcentral. Lineage: Bacteria; Pseudomonadati; Pseudomonadota; Gammaproteobacteria; Enterobacterales; Morganellaceae.